Molecule: long non-coding RNA, 719 nt
Filed under: Cricetulus griseus (Chinese hamster)
Lineage: Eukaryota; Metazoa; Chordata; Mammalia; Rodentia; Cricetidae
Description: lncRNA (ENSCGRG00015034421.1)
Source: RNAcentral
CUGACUUCCUGUUGCCUUCAAGAUGUAGGACUCUCAGCUCCAGCACCACAUCUGCCUUCAUGCUGCAUGUUCCCUUUCAUGGCCAUAUGGAAUGAACUUCUGAAACUGCUGUCAUUUUCCUGCCCAGGGUCCAGAGGAUUCUCUGCUGCUGCCAGUGUGAGCUGUCAGAACUGCCCUGUCUCUGAAGAGUACAGUCCCUAGCACUGGAUAAGCACCACUUCUGGAAGGUUGCUGGAUAUGAAGAGAGGGGAACAAGGCAUCCCCAAAUCCUAUUGCAUUCAUUUUCUCACAUCCUCCCGCCAUCUGUGCUUCCUUCUUCUGGCUGUACUUCCAAACUAAAACUGGGGAGGAAAAGGAAUCUCGAUGAACAGGAAUCAUCCGCUGAAGAAGCCAAUGGACUGUUUUUGAUACAUUGUAAAGGCCUGCACCUGACCUUUUACCUCUGGAACUGCACUAAACUCUGCAGUUCCAUUUCAACCUGUGAUGCCGCUACAACAAACAGCAGCAGCAACAAGAACAACAGCUUCCCAGAGGUCUCCAGCUGGUUAGGUGGCUCAACCCUAUGGACUCCAGGAUAGAUAGAUUUACUUUGUGAUAUGCAAUGUGAUCUGAGAACUGAUAUCAAUAGUUAAUAUUAGAGUAAAAGAACAAGCAUUUGCCUUGGUUAGGGUUAUCAAGGAAAAUGGUGGUAUCUAUGAAAUUCCUAUCAUUGAAACCUU